CCACUGCUGAAGAGUUCUAUCCUAGGACGAAACGGACGUCCAGUGG
This 46-nucleotide non-coding RNA is filed under the name Schistosoma margrebowiei. The record is from RNAcentral. Lineage: Eukaryota; Metazoa; Platyhelminthes; Trematoda; Strigeidida; Schistosomatidae.